Molecule: ribosomal RNA, 253 nt
Filed under: uncultured bacterium
Lineage: Bacteria
Description: partial 16S ribosomal RNA
Rfam family: Bacterial small subunit ribosomal RNA
Source: RNAcentral
GACGGAGGAUGCAAGCGUUAUCCGGAAUUAUUGGGCGUAAAGCGUCCGUAGGCGGUUUCAAAAGUCUGUUGUUAAAGCCCACAGCUCAACUGUGGAUCGGCAAUGGAAACUGUGAGACUAGAGAGUGGUAGGGGUAGAGGGAAUUCCUAGUGUAGCGGUGAAAUGCGUAGAUAUUAGGAAGAACACCAGUGGCGAAGGCGCUCUACUGGGCCAUUACUGACGCUCAUGCACGAAAGCGUGGGGAGCAAACAGG